UAAAAGAGGGAGUGAUUGUUCAAAUUCACAACUUUGAAAUAUGUAGAUUGAAGCAUAUUGUGGAAUUAAAUUUCUAAUGAGGUUCUUAGGAAAAAAAAUCCAUGGAGAAAUGUGGUCUGUGGAUUCAUGGGAUGAGGUUUUUACUUGAAUUCAACAAAGCAUUUGAGGAUUAUCUUUGUUUGUGUCAUGCGUAUGCUUGUGUUUUUGGCAAAUUAGUUGUAGUAAUA
This 227-nucleotide unclassified non-coding RNA is filed under the name Hevea brasiliensis (rubber tree). The record is from RNAcentral. Lineage: Eukaryota; Viridiplantae; Streptophyta; Magnoliopsida; Malpighiales; Euphorbiaceae.